Molecule: non-coding RNA, 2425 nt
Filed under: Zymoseptoria tritici
Lineage: Eukaryota; Fungi; Ascomycota; Dothideomycetes; Mycosphaerellales; Mycosphaerellaceae
Source: RNAcentral
AUCGACUCGACACCAUUUCCGAAUAUCUCAGAUAUUCAUCGACUCCGACCGAGUCCUCCGAUCAUCCACUACUGGACCUCGAUUCGACUCCGACGCCUCGAAACCGCUACUCAACCUCGCCGAUCUGGUCCCCUUGGCCGCGUUCCUCCCUCGAGCAUCUGUGAUCUCUCAACAACACAUACCACCAAGCACAUACCCUCCCCACAGUCCUUCAGACGUCCAUCGUUCAGUGUCGCUCGCGGCGCUGGCAACGGUUCACUCCGCGCUUCUUCCUCUGGCCAAGUCGGAUGACAAUCCUCGAACCUCACAGCAUGGUCUCACUUUUUUGUCCCCGGCGAAGCUACUGUCGAAGUGGAUGCGAUGUUCUGAAGAGCUUAACCCUAAGCGAUUUUCUCGGUUUCCACAAGUCUCGCGAUGUCCUCUACUCCUCAUGUAGAGACAAGCAGCUGGCUUCUUCAACUAGUCUACGCGGACUCUGAUCUUGCACGUCAGCGUAGUUGAUCUUGCAUCGGCGAAAGUGGCGGAAUGGUGAAAGAGGAUGCUGGACGAAAGAGUUGCUGGUCAUGUCCGGUUCUUCCUUAACUCAGCGGCAUCAUGCGUCGGUUUGAUAAGACUUCCGAGGAGGCGCGCGUCGAUGCUGCUGGCUGGACUCUUGCUCUGAUCACGAAUGCACAGUUCUGAUGGACUUCACUGGAAUGGAAUGGGAAAGAGUCGGAUGGAAAGUGUCGGGCAGUGCCAUCAUCGGCGCUGUCUUUAGGAUCUGCAUUGGCUGGAGGUUUCGGGGUGAGGUCGAGGGUAUGUUCGUGGGUGUCUGCAAUACCAGGUGCCGGUCGUUGGGUUUCAAGACUGCUCGAGUCUGCAUCACUAGCACCUUUACUGGUGUCUCCCGUUGGUUUGAUGGCUUCUGCAACAACUUGACUUGAGAGGAACACGGGAAGAGCAUAGCAGUGUCCCUUUGAGGACUUCAGCCAACACACAGACGGCGCGAUCUUGGAUGUUUCAUCAAUCUGGCACCAUCUCACACUCGUCUGAAUCGUGCUCGCAAUAUCUGCAGUACGUAGCGAGGUGAGUGGGCUCACACACAGAGACAUCCAGAUCUGCGCUGUCGACUCGCACGAGUCCGGCAUGCUAUAAGCUCCUGCACUCCUUGAAGACUCGACUGGUCUCGUUGCGUGCAUUGGUCCAUCCUCCAUGACAGGUCGUUCAGCUCUUGCAAUCUCUUGUCUCUCUACACCUCGAUCGGACUUGCAACGCAUCAAAGACCUCACGCCAUUUCUCGGUCAACACCACCACGCUCACCCCUCGGCCGCGAUGCCUGCACACUUCUCCCACCCGCUACACUGCCUUCGCAGAAAGCCAACCACUCUUCACCCCAGCCCAUCCCCAGCCCAAGCCAUCAAAACCCACACCCCAGCACCUCGCUACCGGCGUGGUUCUCUUCUGAGAUUGUCCGAUCAGUCGCGUCAAUCAUCUCCCUCCACGGUCCCCUCGUGGCGGUCGAUCGAUGAACGCCGAACCCCCCACCCCCUUGCCCUGCCUCUGCUUCUCCGCGGACGAGCAGUGCGUCCCUCGCUCCACUUGCGAGAUGGCGAGCGGUUUUUGUAGAUGUACUUUGUCCGCUUGCGCCCGUUGGGGUAUACUGCCUCUCGAAACCUGGCUGCGAAGCUUUUUUUAUGCUUUAACGUCGGGCGGAGAGAUGGAAUUCAAAGACUUGUCUCUGAGUGGGAGUGCUUAUUCACAUACGGAGAGAUCACGAUGCCUGAGGAUUUGGAAUGUGUGCUAAGAACGACUGGUGAAACGAGCUGGUGUGUUUCGGAGAGCUGAAGAUGAGGGUUUGAGAACGAAAGUUGGUGGGUGAGAAGGCGGAUGGAAGGAAGGAGUGAGAUGGUGCGGGUGUUUCACGGCGAUUGCUUUGAAGCUGGACGUUGUUGCAUUGCUGACGAACGAUGGGAUCGGGCUUUGGGACUUCUGACCGCGAAGGCUUUCUGUCAUCUGAUCGGGCGAACUCUAGCUUUUUGCGACUACUGCGAUCGACACUCAGGUCACCGUGCGGGAAACUACGAAUUGGCUGUACUCGCCAGCAAACCGGAUCACAGGCGUGGAGAAGCGGGACCUCUCUCGAGUGAGGAUCAAAGCUUUGGCUUGUCUGUCUUCAAUUGCCUGCCGGUCUGCUCGGCAGUAUGGCUAUUCUUGUGCUCUUGCACGCGUGGUGCUUGUGGAGAGAGACGCUGGCGUGGAAGGCGAUGACGAGAUAGCUGCGAAAGGUGAAGGGAGCUGGAGUUGAAGGCACUAAGGUCUGUGAACGGGAGUUGGAAGUCGAUGCGACAGCAUCCGGUGAGCGGGCGGUCUGCAUACAAAGCGCAGCGAUGCGCUGAGCCGUCUCUCGAUCCUGUGAAGGGGAGAGGACGGCCUUUUUCACUUUUUU